This 517-nucleotide ribosomal RNA is filed under the name uncultured bacterium. RNAcentral describes it as "bacterial SSU rRNA". It matches the Rfam family "Bacterial small subunit ribosomal RNA", at positions 15 to 518 of the family's 1533-position model. The record is from RNAcentral.
GAUCCUGGCUCAGAUUGAACGCUGGCGGCGUGCUAACACAUGCAAGUCGCGCGUGAAAGGACUUCGGUCCGAGUAAAGCGGCGCACGGGUGAGUAACGCGUGGAUGAUCUACCCAUGAGUUGGGAAUAACGGCUGGAAACGGUCGCUAAUACCAAAUACGCUCCGAUUUCAACUUCGGGGGAAAGGUGGCCUCUGCUUGCAAGCUACUGCUCAUGGAUGAGUCCGCGUCCCAUUAGCUAGUUGGUGGGGUAACGGCCCACCAAGGCGACGAUGGGUAGCCGGUCUGAGAGGAUGACCGGCCACACUGGGACUGGAACACGGCCCAGACUCCUACGGGAGGCAGCAGUGGGGAAUAUUGCGCAAUGGGCGAAAGCCUGACGCAGCGACGCCGCGUGAGGGAUGAAGGUCCUCGGAUCGUAAACCUCUGUCAGGAGGGAAGAACCGCCACGGUGCUAAUCAGCCGUGGUCUGACGGUACCUCCAAAGGAAGCACCGGCUAACUCCGUGCCAGCAGCGGC